GAUGAACGCUGGCGGCGUGCCUAAUACAUGCAAGUCGAGCGAACGGACGAGAAGCUUGCUUUUCUGAUGUUAGCGGCGGACGGGUGAGUAACACGUGGAUAACCUACCUAUAAGACUGGGAUAACUUCGGGAAACCGGAGCUAAUACCGGAUAAUAUUUUGAACCGCAUGGUUCAAAAGUGAAAGACGGUCUUGCUGUCACUUAUAGAUGGAUCCGCGCUGCAUUAGCUAGUUGGUAAGGUAACGGCUUACCAAGGCAACGAUGCAUAGCCGACCUGAGAGGGUGAUCGGCCACACUGGAACUGAGACACGGUCCAGACUCCUACGGGAGGCAGCAGUAGGGAAUAUUCCGCAAUGGGCGAAAGCCUGACGGAGCAACGCCGCGUGAGUGAUGAAGGUCUUCGGAUCGUAAAACUCUGUUAUUAGGGAAGAACAGAUGUGUAAGUAACUGUGCACAUCUUGACGGUACCUAAUCAGAAAGCCACGGCUAACUACGUG
RNAcentral lists this ribosomal RNA (497 nucleotides) under uncultured bacterium. RNAcentral's name for it is "partial 16S ribosomal RNA". It matches the Rfam family "Bacterial small subunit ribosomal RNA", at positions 28 to 507 of the family's 1533-position model. The record is from RNAcentral.